RNAcentral lists this ribosomal RNA (275 nucleotides) under uncultured bacterium. Its description in RNAcentral is "partial 16S ribosomal RNA". It matches the Rfam family "Bacterial small subunit ribosomal RNA", at positions 338 to 605 of the family's 1533-position model. The record is from RNAcentral.
CCUACGGGUGGCUGCAGUGGGGAAUAUUGGACAAUGGGGGAAACCCUGAUCCAGCAAUGCCGCGUGUGUGAAGAAGGCCUGCGGGUUGUAAAGCACUUUCGGUGGGAAAGAAAAGCGUAGGGUGAAUACCCCUGCGUCUUGACGUUACCCACAGAAGAAGCACCGGCUAACUCCGUGCCAGCAGCCGCGGUAAUACGGAGGGUGCGAGCGUUAAUCGGAAUCACUGGGCGUAAAGCGCACGUAGGCGGUCGAGUCAGUCUGCUGUGAAAGCCCUG